Paramuricea clavata is the source of this 74-nucleotide non-coding RNA. The record is from the annotation of a GenBank genome assembly. NCBI's taxonomy places the organism in Eukaryota, Metazoa, Cnidaria, Anthozoa, Malacalcyonacea, Plexauridae.
GCCUCUGUAGUUCAGUUGGUUAGAGUGUUGCACCAGAAUUGCAGGGCUGUAGGUUUGAUUCCUGUCAGACGGCC